RNAcentral lists this long non-coding RNA (280 nucleotides) under Arabidopsis lyrata. Its description in RNAcentral is "long non-coding RNA (ALYR_LNC000465)". Lineage: Eukaryota; Viridiplantae; Streptophyta; Magnoliopsida; Brassicales; Brassicaceae. The record is from RNAcentral.
AUUACUCAUAAGUUCUACGUUGUCUAUUUUUUCUUUCCUCUCGCCGGUGAGAAGUCUCAAAUCUCUCUUUUUCUCUUAGUAGAUCUCUCUUAUUUUUACUCGAUCUCUUCUUUCUUUUUUUUUCUCUCCCUCUCGUUGGAUUUUUUCACAACCAUAUCUUUUUUCUUUUCACAUAUCAUUAUUCUCUCCUUCGUCAGGCAUCACCACCGAGUCUCACUACCGCGACCCACCAGGCCACCUCCACAACUAAAUCUCAAAACUAGCUAUCACAAUCAUCAUC